Molecule: ribosomal RNA, 450 nt
Filed under: uncultured bacterium
Lineage: Bacteria
Description: partial 16S ribosomal RNA
Rfam family: Bacterial small subunit ribosomal RNA
Source: RNAcentral
CCUACGGGUGGCUGCAGUGGGGAAUCUUGCACAAUGGGCGACAGCCUGAUGCAGCAAUGCCGCGUGAGGGAAGACGGCCUUCGGGUUGUAAACCUCUUUCAGUUGGGAUGAAGGUUGGACGGUGAACAGCCGCGCCAACUGACCGUACCUUCAGAAGAAGCUCCGGCUAACUACGUGCCAGCAGCCGCGGUAAUACGUAGGGGGCGAGCGUUGUCCGGAAUCCGUGUGGGUAAUUUGCGUGGAGGCGGUUGAAAGUCGGAGGCUCAACCUUCGAAUGCCAGUGGAUACUGCGAGACUUGAGUACGGAAGAGGAGAGUGGAAUUCCUGGUGUAGCGGUGAAAUGCGCAGAUAUCAGGAGGAACACCAACGGCGAAGGCAGCUCUCUGGGACGUAACUGACGCUGAGACGCGAAAGCGUGGGGAGCAAACAGGAUUAGAUACCCCAGUAGUC